This 657-nucleotide long non-coding RNA is filed under the name Olea europaea subsp. europaea. Lineage: Eukaryota; Viridiplantae; Streptophyta; Magnoliopsida; Lamiales; Oleaceae. The record is from RNAcentral.
AGAAAAUAUAAUUUUUGAUAAAUCAACAUGGCACUUUCCCAAAUUUUAUGGUUGAAUCGGCUUGGCUUUACUAAAUUUUCCUGCAUCAUAUUUCCUUUUCAUAAUCCUCUCCACAUGUUGUAACAUCGACAAACUAUUUUAUUCCAUUUGCAGAGCAUGAAUCAGUUAGUUUAAUGUGCAGAAUGCACACUUGGUAAAUGUGGGAAAGAAAUAUUGAGGGAGUGUUAGCUAGAAUUCUGUAUAAGUUUAGAAUGAAAACAAUUGAUCAUGUCUAAAUUUGAAAAUUUUAGGUUUGAGAUGAUAAGAAACUCCUAUCUCUUGUAUCUGGAGAAAGACAUUGAUGACAGAAAUAUAUUCUUUCCUGGGUUAUAUGCUAAAUUUGGUGUCAUUUGACCAUCUUGCUGCCAAGUAAUUUUCACUGAGCUCUAAUGUGCAAGGAUAAUACCAGUUAGAAACAAUACUGAAGAUGAUGUUGUUAUCAGCAGGGCAUUAAUAAUGAGUAAUAUGUAAACAAACGACUUUUCUUCUCAAGUCAGUUAAAUGCUUGAUCUUCUGGAAUAUCAGACAAAAUUGGAGAAGUUCACUCUUUUGUUUUCUUCUGUUCUGUUUUUAUCAUCCCCACUUUUGGCCCCAAAUCGUUUUGUUUGUUUGUUCAAC